ACACGGGGUGCGCCGUCCGGCGCUGAGAACAUACCCGCUGAACCUGAUCUAGUUCGAACUAGCGAAGGGAUGUUUU
This 76-nucleotide non-coding RNA is filed under the name uncultured Enteractinococcus sp. RNAcentral's name for it is "TPP riboswitch (THI element)". It matches the Rfam family "TPP riboswitch aptamer (THI element)", at positions 8 to 91 of the family's 105-position model. Rfam says of the family: Vitamin B(1) in its active form thiamin pyrophosphate (TPP) is an essential coenzyme that is synthesised by coupling of pyrimidine and thiazole moieties in bacteria. The previously detected thiamin-regulatory element, thi box was extended, resulting in a new, highly conserved RNA secondary structure, the THI element, which is widely distributed in eubacteria and also occurs in some archaea. The record is from RNAcentral. Lineage: Bacteria; Bacillati; Actinomycetota; Actinomycetes; Micrococcales; Micrococcaceae.